GAUGAUGAACGCAGCGAAAUGCGAUAAGUAAUGUGAAUUGCAGAAUUCAGUGAAUCAUCGAAUCUUUGAACGCACCUUGCGCCCUUUGGCCAUUCCGAAGGGCAUGCCUGUUUGAGUAUCAUGAACACCUCAACUCUUCAUGGUUUUCCGUGAUGAGCUUGGACUUUGGGGGUCUUGCUGGCCUAUGGUCAGCUCCUCUAAAAUAAAUCAGCUUGCCAGUGUUUGGUGGGUAUCACAGGUGUGAUAACUAUCUACGCUUGUGGUUUUCCACCAGGUAACCUUCAGCAGUGGAGGUUCGCUGGAGCUCACAGAUGUGUCUCUCCUCAGUGAGGACAGCUCUUUGAAUGUUUGAUCUCAAAUCAGGUAGGACUACCCGCUGAACUUAAGCAUAUCAAUAAGCGGAGGA
RNAcentral lists this unclassified non-coding RNA (406 nucleotides) under soil metagenome. Its description in RNAcentral is "partial contains 5.8S ribosomal RNA, internal transcribed spacer 2, and large subunit ribosomal RNA". The stretch from base 1 to 121 matches the Rfam family "5.8S ribosomal RNA", at positions 35 to 154 of the family's 154-position model. The record is from RNAcentral.